RNAcentral lists this transfer RNA (75 nucleotides) under Candidatus Wolfebacteria bacterium CG_4_10_14_0_2_um_filter_39_18. RNAcentral's name for it is "tRNA-Arg". It matches the Rfam family "tRNA". From Rfam's summary of the family: Transfer RNA (tRNA) molecules are approximately 80 nucleotides in length. The record is from RNAcentral. Lineage: Bacteria; Candidatus Wolfeibacteriota.
GCCCUCGUAGUUCAAUGGAUAGAACGGCGCCGUCCUAAGGCGAAAAUGGAAGUCCGAUUCCUCCCGAGGGCACAA